GAUGAACGCUGGCGGCGUGCCUAAUACAUGCAAGUCGAGCGAACAGACGAGGAGCUUGCUCCUCUGACGUUAGCGGCGGACGGGUGAGUAACACGUGGAUAACCUACCUAUAAGACUGGGAUAACUUCGGGAAACCGGAGCUAAUACCGGAUAAUAUAUUGAACCGCAUGGUUCAAUAGUGAAAGACGGUUUUGCUGUCACUUAUAGAUGGAUCCGCGCCGCAUUAGCUAGUUGGUAAGGUAACGGCUUACCAAGGCGACGAUGCGUAGCCGACCUGAGAGGGUGAUCGGCCACCCUGGAACUGAGACACGGUCCAGACGCCUACGGGAGGCAGCAGUAGGGAAUCUUCCGCAAUGGGCGAAAGCCUGACGGAGCAACGCCGCGUGAGUGAUGAAGGUCUUCGGAUCGUAAAACUCUGUUAUUAGGGAAGAACAAAUGUGUAAGUAACUAUGCACGUCUUGACGGUACCUAAUCAGAAAGCCACGGCUAACUACGUG
This 497-nucleotide ribosomal RNA is filed under the name uncultured bacterium. Its description in RNAcentral is "partial 16S ribosomal RNA". It matches the Rfam family "Bacterial small subunit ribosomal RNA", at positions 28 to 507 of the family's 1533-position model. The record is from RNAcentral.